AACGCAUAUUGCACUCUCUGGUAUUCCGGGGAGUAUGCCUGUUUGAGGGUCAGUAAAUAAUAAUUAUCAUAAUCUUUUGAUUGUGGAAUUGGGCCUUUAUUUCAUUUUAAUGAUUUAUGGCCUUAAAUUUACGUUACCGCUUGUUUAAUAUGAAAUUCGACCGAAUGGAGCAAUUAAACAUUCUCUCGUUAGGCGGAUUCAUCAAGCAAUUACGAUUUUUUGGCCGUCGAAGCACUUUUUUUUUAGAAGUGCUUGGUCGAGAUUGUAAGAUACAUUUUUAACAAUGACCUCAAAUCAGGCAAGAAUACCCGCUGAACUUAA
RNAcentral lists this unclassified non-coding RNA (321 nucleotides) under uncultured Entrophospora. Its description in RNAcentral is "uncultured Claroideoglomus sequence contains ITS2". The stretch from base 1 to 52 matches the Rfam family "5.8S ribosomal RNA", at positions 103 to 154 of the family's 154-position model. The record is from RNAcentral. Lineage: Eukaryota; Fungi; Glomeromycota; Glomeromycetes; Entrophosporales; Entrophosporaceae.